This 432-nucleotide ribosomal RNA is filed under the name uncultured bacterium. Its description in RNAcentral is "partial 16S ribosomal RNA". It matches the Rfam family "Bacterial small subunit ribosomal RNA", at positions 29 to 507 of the family's 1533-position model. The record is from RNAcentral.
ACGAACGCUGGCGGCAUGCCUAACACAUGCCAGUCGAACGAGACCUUCGGGUCUAGUGGCGCACGGGUGCGUAACGCGUGGGAACCUGCCCUUAGGUUCGGAAUAACUCCCCGAAAGGAGUGCUAAUACCGGAUAAUGUCUUCGGACCAAAGAUUUAUCGCCUUUGGAUGGGCCCGCGUUGGAUUAGCUAGUUGGUAGGGUAAAAGCCUACCAAGGCGACGAUCCAUAGCUGGUCUGAGAGGAUGAUCAGCCACACUGGGACUGAGACACGGCCCAGACUCCUACGGGAGGCAGCAGUGGGGAAUAUUGGACAAUGGGCGAAAGCCUGAUCCAGCAAUGCCGCGUGAGUGAUGAAGGCCUUAGGGUUGUAAAGCUCUUUUACCCGGGAUGAUAAUGACAGUACCGGGAGAAUAAGCUCCGGCUAACUCCGUG